CGUUCAUCGGCGUAGGGUGAGUCGGCCCCUAAGGCGAGGCAGAGAUGCGUAGCUGAUGGGAAACAGGUCAAUAUUCCUGUACCGAUGUGUAGUGCGAUGUGGGGACGGAGAAGGUUAGCUCAGCCAACUGUUGGAUAUGUUGGUUCAAGCCUGUAGUCGUGCCUGGUAGGCAAAUCCGCCGGGCUUAGAUGAGGGGUGAUAACGAGUCUGCUUGCAGACGAAGUGAGUGAUACCCUGCUUCCAGGAAAAGCCACUAAGCUUCAGCUACACACGACCGUACCGCAAACCGACACUGGUGCGCGAGAUGAGUAUUCUAAGGCG
This 321-nucleotide ribosomal RNA is filed under the name Flavobacterium potami. RNAcentral's name for it is "partial 23S ribosomal RNA". It matches the Rfam family "Bacterial large subunit ribosomal RNA", at positions 1363 to 1688 of the family's 2925-position model. Lineage: Bacteria; Pseudomonadati; Bacteroidota; Flavobacteriia; Flavobacteriales; Flavobacteriaceae. The record is from RNAcentral.